Molecule: ribosomal RNA, 3383 nt
Filed under: Burkholderia cenocepacia
Lineage: Bacteria; Pseudomonadati; Pseudomonadota; Betaproteobacteria; Burkholderiales; Burkholderiaceae
Description: 23S ribosomal RNA
Rfam family: Bacterial large subunit ribosomal RNA
Source: RNAcentral
GGUCAAGCGAACAAGUGCAUGUGGUGGAUGCCUUGGCGAUCACAGGCGAUGAAGGACGCGGUAGCCUGCGAAAAGCUACGGGGAGCUGGCAAACGAGCUUUGAUCCGUAGAUGUCCGAAUGGGGAAACCCGGCCCUUUUGGGUCAUCCUGGACUGAAUACAUAGGUCCAGUGAAGCGAACGCGGUGAACUGAAACAUCUAAGUAACCGCAGGAAAAGAAAUCAACCGAGAUUCCCAAAGUAGUGGCGAGCGAAAUGGGAUGAGCCUUGCACUCUUUAUUUGUAUUGUUAGCCGAACGCUCUGGAAAGUGCGGCCAUAGCAGGUGAUAGCCCUGUAGGCGAAAACAGUAUGAAAGAACUAGGUGUGCGACAAGUAGGGCGGGACACGUGAAAUCCUGUCUGAAGAUGGGGGGACCAUCCUCCAAGGCUAAAUACUCGUGAUCGACCGAUAGUGAACCAGUACCGUGAGGGAAAGGCGAAAAGAACCCCGGGAGGGGAGUGAAAUAGAUCCUGAAACCGCAUGCAUACAAACAGUCGGAGCCUCGCCUCCAAGGCUAAAUACUCGUGAUCGACCGAUAGUGAACCAGUACCGUGAGGGAAAGGCGAAAAGAACCCCGGGAGGGGAGUGAAAUAGAUCCUGAAACCGCAUGCAUACAAACAGUCGGAGCCUCGCAAGGGGUGACGGCGUACCUUUUGUAUAAUGGGUCAGCGACUUACGUUCAGUAGCAAGCUUAACCGUAUAGGGCAGGCGUAGCGAAAGCGAGUCCGAAUAGGGCGUUCAGUUGCUGGGCGUAGACCCGCCUCCAAGGCUAAAUACUCGUGAUCGACCGAUAGUGAACCAGUACCGUGAGGGAAAGGCGAAAAGAACCCCGGGAGGGGAGUGAAAUAGAUCCUGAAACCGCAUGCAUACAAACAGUCGGAGCCUCGUAAGGGGUGACGGCGUACCUUUUGUAUAAUGGGUCAGCGACUUACGUUCAGUAGCAAGCUUAACCGUAUAGGGCAGGCGUAGCGAAAGCGAGUCCGAAUAGGGCGUUCAGUUGCUGGGCGUAGACCCGNNNNNNNNNNNNNNNNNNNNNNNNNNNNNNNNNNNNNNNNNNNNNNNNNNNNNNNNNNNNNNNNNNNNNNNNNNNNNNNNNNNNNNNNNNNNNNNNNNNNAAGGGGUGACGGCGUACCUUUUGUAUAAUGGGUCAGCGACUUACGUUCAGUAGCAAGCUUAACCGUAUAGGGCAGGCGUAGCGAAAGCGAGUCCGAAUAGGGCGUUCAGUUGCUGGGCGUAGACCCGAAACCAGGUGAUCUAUCCAUGGCCAGGAUGAAGGUGCGGUAACACGUACUGGAGGUCCGAACCCACUAACGUUGAAAAGUUAGGGGAUGAGCUGUGGAUAGGGGUGAAAGGCUAAACAAACCUGGAAAUAGCUGGUUCUCUCCGAAAACUAUUUAGGUAGUGCCUCGUGUCUCACCUUCGGGGGUAGAGCACUGUCAUGGUUGGGGGGUCUAUUGCAGAUUACCCCGCCAUAGCAAACUCCGAAUACCGAAGAGUGCAAUCACGGGAGACAGACAUCGGGUGCUAACGUCCGGUGUCAAGAGGGAAACAACCCAGACCGCCAGCUAAGGUCCCCAAAUAUAGCUAAGUGGGAAACGAAGUGGGAAGGCUAAAACAGUCAGGAGGUUGGCUUAGAAGCAGCCACCCUUUAAAGAAAGCGUAAUAGCUCACUGAUCGAGUCGUCCUGCGCGGAAGAUGUAACGGGGCUAAGCUAUAUACCGAAGCUGCGGAUGCGAGCUUUGCUCGCAUGGUAGGAGAGCGUUCCGUAAGCCUGCGAAGGUGCCUUGUAAAGGGUGCUGGAGGUAUCGGAAGUGCGAAUGCUGACAUGAGUAGCGAUAAAGGGGGUGAAAGGCCCCCUCGCCGUAAGCCCAAGGUUUCCUACGCAACGUUCAUCGGCGUAGGGUGAGUCGGCCCCUAAGGCGAGGCAGAAAUGCGUAGCUGAUGGGAAGCAGGUCAAUAUUCCUGCACCAUUGUUAGAUGCGAUGGGGGGACGGAUCGCGGAAGGUUGUCCGGGUGUUGGAAGUCCCGGUCGCUGCAUUGGAGAAGGCGCUUAGGCAAAUCCGGGCGCGUAAUUCAAGGGUGUGGCGCGAGCUCCUAGGGAGCGAAGCAAUUGGAAGUGGUUCCAAGAAAAGCCUCUAAGCUUCAGUCUAACGAUGACCGUACCGCAAACCGACACAGGUGGGCGAGAUGAGUAUUCUAAGGCGCUUGAGAGAACUCGGGAGAAGGAACUCGGCAAAUUGGUACCGUAACUUCGGGAUAAGGUACGCCCUUGUAGCUUGACUGGCCUGCGCCAGGAGGGUGAAGGGGUUGCAAUAAACUGGUGGCUGCGACUGUUUAAUAAAAACACAGCACUCUGCAAACACGAAAGUGGACGUAUAGGGUGUGACGCCUGCCCGGUGCCGGAAGAUUAAAUGAUGGGGUGCAAGCUCUUGAUUGAAGUCCCGGUAAACGGCGGCCGUAACUAUAACGGUCCUAAGGUAGCGAAAUUCCUUGUCGGGUAAGUUCCGACCUGCACGAAUGGCGUAACGAUGGCCACACUGUCUCCUCCCGAGACUCAGCGAAGUUGAAGUGUUUGUGAUGAUGCAAUCUACCCGCGGCUAGACGGAAAGACCCCAUGAACCUUUACUGUAGCUUUGCAUUGGACUUUGAACCGAUCUGUGUAGGAUAGGUGGGAGGCUAUGAAACCGGAACGCUAGUUUCGGUGGAGCCGUCCUUGAAAUACCACCCUGGUUUGUUUGAGGUUCUAACCUUGGCCCGUGAUCCGGGUCGGGGACAGUGCAUGGUAGGCAGUUUGACUGGGGCGGUCUCCUCCCAAAGCGUAACGGAGGAGUACGAAGGUACGCUAGGUACGGUCGGAAAUCGUGCUGAUAGUGCAAUGGCAUAAGCGUGCUUAACUGCGAGACCGACAAGUCGAGCAGGUGCGAAAGCAGGUCAUAGUGAUCCGGUGGUUCUGUAUGGAAGGGCCAUCGCUCAACGGAUAAAAGGUACUCUGGGGAUAACAGGCUGAUACCGCCCAAGAGUUCAUAUCGACGGCGGUGUUUGGCACCUCGAUGUCGGCUCAUCUCAUCCUGGGGCUGUAGCCGGUCCCAAGGGUAUGGCUGUUCGCCAUUUAAAGAGGUACGUGAGCUGGGUUUAAAACGUCGUGAGACAGUUUGGUCCCUAUCUGCCGUGGGCGUUGGAUAUUUGAAGGGGGCUGCUCCUAGUACGAGAGGACCGGAGUGGACGAACCUCUGGUGUACCGGUUGUCACGCCAGUGGCAUCGCCGGGUAGCUAUGUUCGGAAGAGAUAACCGCUGAAAGCAUCUAAGCGGGAAACUCGCCUUAAGAUGAGAUAUCCCUGGGGACU